Molecule: long non-coding RNA, 211 nt
Filed under: Elaeis guineensis (African oil palm)
Lineage: Eukaryota; Viridiplantae; Streptophyta; Magnoliopsida; Arecales; Arecaceae
Description: long non-coding RNA (EGUI_LNC040137)
Source: RNAcentral
CUACAAAAUAAAAAUUGGACAAUGUAAAAGAUAAAAUACUGGAUUACCUCCCAAUCAAGCAUUAAGUUUAAGAUCUUCAACUAGACCAAAGCAGCUCAUUGUUGGUCGUAUGGUAGAUCCACCAAGUAGAUGAUAUCGAUUAGUUCUUUGUUCUGAAUUUUAUCUAUGUCACGUCUCAAAUCUAGGAUAUAAUACGAUCAUACUACUGAGG